RNAcentral lists this ribosomal RNA (253 nucleotides) under uncultured bacterium. RNAcentral's name for it is "partial 16S ribosomal RNA". It matches the Rfam family "Bacterial small subunit ribosomal RNA", at positions 524 to 776 of the family's 1533-position model. The record is from RNAcentral.
UACAGAGGUCCCGAGCGUUGUUCGGAUUCAUUGGGCGUAAAGGGCGCGUAGGUGGCGCGGGCAGUCAACGGUGAAAGCUCGGGGCUCAACCCCGAGUCGGCCGUCGAUACUCCCGCGCUUGAGCACUGUAGAGGCAGGUGGAAUUCCGGGUGUAGCGGUGGAAUGCGUAGAGAUCCGGAAGAACACCGGUGGCGAAGGCGGCCUGCUGGGCAGUAGCUGACACUGAGGCGCGACAGCGUGGGGAGCAAACAGG